UACGGAGGGUGCAAGCGUUAUCCGGAUUCACUGGGUUUAAAGGGUGCGUAGGCGGGUUGGUAAGUCCGUGGUGAAAGCCCCAAGCUUAACUUGGGAAUUGCCGUGGAUACUAUCAAUCUUGAAUAUCGAGGAGGUAAGCGGAAUAUGUCAUGUAGCGGUGAAAUGCUUAGAUAUGACAUGGAACACCAAUUGCGUAGGCAGCUUACUACACGAUCAUUGACGCUGAGGCACGAAAGCGUGGGUAGCGAACAGG
RNAcentral lists this ribosomal RNA (253 nucleotides) under uncultured bacterium. Its description in RNAcentral is "partial 16S ribosomal RNA". It matches the Rfam family "Bacterial small subunit ribosomal RNA", at positions 524 to 776 of the family's 1533-position model. The record is from RNAcentral.